Molecule: ribosomal RNA, 804 nt
Filed under: uncultured Planctomycetota bacterium
Lineage: Bacteria; Pseudomonadati; Planctomycetota
Description: bacterial SSU rRNA
Rfam family: Bacterial small subunit ribosomal RNA
Source: RNAcentral
CAAGUCGAACGAAUCCCAACUUUGUAGCAAUACCGAGUUGGGGGAAGUGGCGAAAGGGGCAGUAAUGCGUGGGUAAUCUACCUCGGGGACGUGGAUAGCCAUUCUAACGAGUGGGUAAUACGCGGCGAUUUGGUUGAGGGGCAUCCCUUGGCCAGGAAAUGAAUUUCGCCUCGAGAGGAACUCACGUGAUAUUAGCUUGUUGGCGGGGUAACGGCCCACCAAGGCAAAGAUGUCUAGCGGGUGUGAGAGCACGACCCGCGCCACUGGCACUGAGACACUGGCCAGACACCUACGGGUGGCUGCAGUCGAGGAUCUUCGGCAAUGGGCGCAAGCCUGACCGAGCGACGCCGCGUGCGCGAUGAAGGCCUUCGGGUUGUAAAGCGCUGUCGAGGGGGAGGAAGCCGAAAGGUUGACCUAUCCCUGGAGGAAGGACGGGCUAAGUUCGUGCCAGCAGCCGCGGUAAGACGAACCGUCCUAACGUUGUUCGGAAUCACUGGGCUUAAAGGGCGCGUAGGCGGCUUGCCAAGUCCGGGGUGAAAUCCUGCAGCUUAACUGUAGAAGGGCCUUGGAUACUGGCAAGCUCGAGGGAGGUAGGGGUCGCUGGAACUUCCGGUGGAGCGGUGAAAUGCGUUGAUAUCGGAAGGAACGCCGGUGGCGAAAGCGAGCGACUGGACCUCUUCUGACGCUGAGGCGCGAAAGCUAGGGGAGCAAACGGGAUUAGAUACCCCGGUAGUCCUAGCCCUAAACGAUGGGUACUAGAUUGUAGACUUAACAUGGGUUUACAAUCGAAGCAAAAGUGUUAAG